This 254-nucleotide ribosomal RNA is filed under the name uncultured bacterium. RNAcentral describes it as "partial 16S ribosomal RNA". It matches the Rfam family "Bacterial small subunit ribosomal RNA", at positions 524 to 776 of the family's 1533-position model. The record is from RNAcentral.
UACGUAGGGGGCAAGCGUUAUCCGGAUUUACUGGGUGUAAAGGGAGCGUAGGUGGCAUGGUAAGCCAGAAGUGAAAACCCGGGGCUCAACCCCGCGGAUUGCUUUUGGAACUAUCAGGCUGGAGUGCUGGAGGGGUAAGCGGAAUUCCUAGUGUAGCGGUGAAAUGCGUAGAUAUUAGGAGGAACACCGGUGGCGAAGGCGGCUUACUGGACAGAAACUGACACUGAGGCUCGAAAGCGUGGGUAGCAAACAGG